RNAcentral lists this long non-coding RNA (878 nucleotides) under Volvox carteri. RNAcentral's name for it is "long non-coding RNA (VCAR_LNC002490)". Lineage: Eukaryota; Viridiplantae; Chlorophyta; Chlorophyceae; Chlamydomonadales; Volvocaceae. The record is from RNAcentral.
GCGCAAACCGCUGUGUUGUGCAACAUCUCAUCGUCAGGUGGGGGUUAUAUUCGCCAUGUCGCGCCGCAGCCCUUACUUAAUGCCGUGCAGACGCGACUGCCCGGCAGCUGCAGCAAUAUACCUGGCGCGGGAUGUGUCUGUCUAUGCAUGGAUGGACCGGGCCGCACCUGGGGGCAGGCGAGGUGAGGGGAGUUUCUGGGGGCGCCUUAGAAUCUAGGCAAGUGCUGGUGGUAGUGUUGUUGUUGUUGGUAGUGAUGGUAAUGAGUCACGGAGAAAUGCACUUUGAAAUGCACAUGUUAUAGAGCCAGGGCUUGCAGGGCAGGUUUCUCGAAAUGGAAAAAGGGCAUGGGGUAACGCAUCGCCGAUUGACGGCCGCAGAAGCACUGGUCGCCGUCGCUGGCAGAGGUCAAGGUUACCCGGCUCUGCGUGGCCGGCUCUGCAUGGUUAGGGACACGGUGGCUGUGCAGGCCUGACAGGCGUUUUGUAUUGGAGGUAUAAGGGCAUUAAUGAGACUGAGGAGUACAGUAGAGCUUGUUUGCAUAUGCCGACAUGUAUAGCAUGGCGUGCGCUGGAAUAGGCACGGAAAGACGUUUUGACGGCGUUUCAAGCUAGGAAGAACCCGGCGAGCCAGGAACGAAGGGCCCGAGGACCAACCAACAAAAGUCCGUGAUGUAAACGUAAAGCAAUGCUUAUGAAUGGAUAGCUUACCGUAUAGUUGCCUGAAAAUACUAAACCUUAGUAGCACCCGCGACACCUAGCUCCUAAGGUAGAUACCAGGCGGUUUCCAGUUAUUCCCGUUGCCGCGUUCUGCUACACUAAAACAUUUACCACGCCACCAGGUAGAGCGCCAUAAGUUAAGAAAUCGCUAAAAUUAUUCU